This 213-nucleotide unclassified non-coding RNA is filed under the name Hevea brasiliensis (rubber tree). Lineage: Eukaryota; Viridiplantae; Streptophyta; Magnoliopsida; Malpighiales; Euphorbiaceae. The record is from RNAcentral.
GAAUCCCUCAGGGAAAACAUCAACAUCUCGAUAAAAUGUGCAGCUUUGCUCAACUGAUACACUCUAUACAUCUCAAAAAUAAUCGGUAAUAGAGGCCAACACGAUGAUCGACGCUUUUCAAGGUGCAGCUCAAAUGCGUACUGUGCAGCGCAUCCAAGUAGAUAAGGAGCCACCGCAAUCAAGGCUGGUAGGCCAAUAACUGGCCAAACAACA